RNAcentral lists this ribosomal RNA (550 nucleotides) under uncultured bacterium. Its description in RNAcentral is "bacterial SSU rRNA". It matches the Rfam family "Bacterial small subunit ribosomal RNA", at positions 355 to 896 of the family's 1533-position model. The record is from RNAcentral.
UAGGGAAUCUUCCACAAUGGACGCAAGUCUGAUGGAGCAACGCCGCGUGAGUGAAGAAGGGUUUCGGCUCGUAAAGCUCUGUUGUUAGAGAAGAACACGAGUGAGAGUAACUGUUCAUUCGAUGACGGUAUCUAACCAGCAAGUCACGGCUAACUACGUGCCAGCAGCCGCGGUAAUACGUAGGUGGCAAGCGUUGUCCGGAUUUAUUGGGCGUAAAGGGAACGCAGGCGGUCUUUUAAGUCUGAUGUGAAAGCCUUCGGCUUAACCGGAGUAGUGCAUUGGAAACUGGAAGACUUGAGUGCAGAAGAGGAGAGUGGAACUCCAUGUGUAGCGGUGAAAUGCGUAGAUAUAUGGAAGAACACCAGUGGCGAAAGCGGCUCUCUGGUCUGUAACUGACGCUGAGGUUCGAAAGCGUGGGUAGCAAACAGGAUUAGAUACCCUGGUAGUCCACGCCGUAAACGAUGAAUGCUAGGUGUUGGAGGGUUUCCACCCUUCAGUGCCGCAGCUAACGCAAUAAGCAUUCCGCCUGGGGAGUACGACCGCAAGGUUG